RNAcentral lists this ribosomal RNA (501 nucleotides) under uncultured bacterium. RNAcentral's name for it is "bacterial SSU rRNA". It matches the Rfam family "Bacterial small subunit ribosomal RNA", at positions 20 to 507 of the family's 1533-position model. The record is from RNAcentral.
UGGCUCAGGAUGAACGCUAGCGACAGGCUUAACACAUGCAAGUCGAGGGGAAACGACAUCGAAAGCUUGCUUUUGAUGGGCGUCGACCGGCGCACGGGUGAGUAACGCGUAUCCAACCUGCCCACCACUUGGGGAUAACCUUGCGAAAGUAAGACUAAUACCCGAUGAUAUCUCUAGACGACAUCUGAAAGGGAUUUAAAGAUUUAUCGGUGAUGGAUGGGGAUGCGUCUGAUUAGCUUGUUGGCGGGGUAACGGCCCACCAAGGCAACGAUCAGUAGGGGUUCUGAGAGGAAGGUCCCCCACAUUGGAACUGAGACACGGUCCAAACUCCUACGGGAGGCAGCAGUGAGGAAUAUUGGUCAAUGGGCGAGAGCCUGAACCAGCCAAGUAGCGUGCAGGACGACGGCCCUAUGGGUUGUAAACUGCUUUUAUAAGGGAAUAAAGUGAGUCUCGUGAGACUUUUUGCAUGUACCUUAUGAAUAAGGACCGGCUAAUUCCGUG